This 62-nucleotide transfer RNA is filed under the name Rhipicephalus microplus (southern cattle tick). Its description in RNAcentral is "tRNA-Ala". The record is from RNAcentral. Lineage: Eukaryota; Metazoa; Arthropoda; Arachnida; Ixodida; Ixodidae.
AGAAAAGUAUUUAAAUAAAAUAAAAUCUAAUUUGCAUUUAGACAUUGGGAUACCCUUUUCUG